AUAGAGAGUUUUCUUAUCUAAGUUAACAGUUAGUUACUUUCUUGCCUGAGUGCCUGUUCUUGGAGGUCUACCAUUUACUUACUUCUUUUGGAGUAAUUCGUCAUCAGAGUCGGUGAUAUCUGCCGGUUGAGGUGCAGUCACAACCACUCGUUCAGUGUUAACUGUGUUGAGAUGCGUUGUGAUUUCCGUAAGCUGAAGGCCGUGACCUUGAAUAGAAGAGAGUACUUCCUUCAUUUCGAAAGAAUCCGGAAGCAGGAUGGAUUUCAUUGUAUUCAUUGCUCCUCUUAUCAUGCCCACUUCUCUGGAGGUAGUUCUUAUUUCCCUAAGAAACAUCACCUAAGCAAAGCCGCAAUACAGGGAAAUUUUGAAGAGAAAGACCCAACUAUUCUUUUGCCCAAUCAAUCUGAUGAUAUCUCUCAUUUGGCUUUAGAUAUUGGAGGUUGGUUUACUUUUCAAGACACGAAGAAGAUCAGUCGUCUAUCAACGACAGUAAGAAGGAGAAAUCAGGUGUUCUUAAUUCGAUUCGUAGAAGCUAUCGUAUUCUUGGAGGAAGGCUUCAUUUUGUCAAGUUUGAGACACACAAGAUCAAUGAAUGCAUUGAUUUUAUAUCUUCUAAACAGCUUCACUAUGGUGCAUUCAUUCAUUCAUUCAUAGUGCAUUCAUUGGAGCUCUAAGCCUCUAACCCGUCUAACAGGGAUGAAGCUGUAAUCAAGAGAAUCUGAGCUGAGUAGAUUAUGUCAAGUUUUAAAUCCAAAAAACAAUUUGAAGGACAAGAUUGUUAUCCAAGAGGAGAUUUGGAUGAUGAAAAGCCGCAAGUUCAGCUUCGUGGAUUGAUGAAUAAUCAAGAGCAUCUUAUCUUCCUACGUAAGAACUGCAAUAGUUAUGAGAAGUCUGGUAAACUGACAUAUGAAGCUGAUCCUGAUGUAUCAUCUUUGGGACCUCAUUCUCAGAUUCCACACUCUUGCCCACUUCUUGCAGAAGCAGAGGCCAUGAUGUAUUCCAAUUUGAGGUCAUAUAAUUCAACAGAUAUUUGGAAUAUGAAACUUUCAAAACUGUCAAGUCAAUCUGAUCGAUUUGAACUUGUAAGUACAGAACUUUCAUUUUCGAAAGGUGGGAACCACCUGUCAUCUGAUCGUAGCUUUAGCUUUCGCCUUAGAAAGCGUCUCAGUAGAAGUUUUAGUUCAAGAGAGAGUUU
Molecule: long non-coding RNA, 1195 nt
Organism: Impatiens glandulifera
Lineage: Eukaryota; Viridiplantae; Streptophyta; Magnoliopsida; Ericales; Balsaminaceae
Exons: 3
Source: RefSeq, a predicted model, not a curated record